Non-coding RNA from Python bivittatus (Burmese python), 649 nucleotides. NCBI's taxonomy places the organism in Eukaryota, Metazoa, Chordata, Lepidosauria, Squamata, Pythonidae. The record is from RefSeq and is a predicted model, not a curated record.
UAAUGAAUACUGGAGCAGAAACAGAUGUUGCAUGCAAAUACACAUAAGAAAAGAAAAUCCGAUCAGCCACAUUUCUUCUUUCGAAGAAUGACUUUUAGAGUCCACAAGUUUCUUCUAGAAAAGAAUGAACUACCUUUACUGGGGAGAAAAAAGAGAAUUUAGAGCAAAACAGGGCAACCAAUUCUUUGUUGACCCUUCGUCUCACCUCAGUAAAGAUCAAAAGAACACAAGGAAGAAAAGUGCCAGAAGAGCAAACAGCUUCAGAUAAGUCAGGAAGCUGACACAGUGAAAAGCAAGAUGCAGUUUCAAAACUGAAUGUAUUUGGCUUUCCAAGGAUUUGAAGCAUGAAAGCAACAUUUCUGAAUAUUUUUAAAACCUGCUGUGCAUCAUGUAAUCCAGUUUUGCAUGUUAAAUCUGUUUUUAAGGUUAUCUUCAAAGUACAUUCAAUGAAAAGUCCCAACAAUCUUUACAAAAGAAACAGAGCAAUCAUUUUUGAAUGUAAGCUGCUUGGACUAGUAUCUGUGAAUGAGAAAUGAUGUACCUCUGUUUAUUUGUGGUUACUAAAUGAUAGUCUGUAAUACAAAUUGUAUACAAUGGUACAUACACAAAAGAAUUCUUGAUGAUUCUUUCCUCAAAAGAUUCAUGUAAA